This 422-nucleotide RNase P RNA is filed under the name Planctomycetota bacterium. Its description in RNAcentral is "Planctomycetes bacterium (anaerobic digester metagenome) RNase P RNA component class A". It matches the Rfam family "Bacterial RNase P class A". From Rfam's summary of the family: Ribonuclease P (RNase P) is a ubiquitous endoribonuclease, found in archaea, bacteria and eukarya as well as chloroplasts and mitochondria. Its best characterised activity is the generation of mature 5'-ends of tRNAs by cleaving the 5'-leader elements of precursor-tRNAs. The record is from RNAcentral. Lineage: Bacteria; Pseudomonadati; Planctomycetota.
CCGGAUGCGCGGAAGGCCGCCGCCCUAAGGGGCGGAGGAAAGUCCGAGCACCACUGAACCACGGUGGUGGGUAACGCCCACCGUUGCCGCUCGCGAGGGCGGCGAUAGGGAAAGCGCCACAGAAAGCAGACCGCCCGCGUGCGGAGCCCCCGUCAAGGACGCGCGUGGGUAAGGGUGAAAAGGUGCGGUAAGAGCGCACCGCGUUCGUCGUGAGGCGGACGGCACGGCAAGCCCCACCGGGUGCAAGGUCAAGCAGCGACGAUGGCUUGGUUCAGGCCCAGCGUCGCGGGUAGGCCGCUUCCUUCGGGUUCGCCCGACGGAGAGCCCGUCCCGCAAGGGCGGGUCAAGAUAAAUGGUCUUCGCCGCCGAUCGCAGCCAAGCGAGCGGCGGAACAGAACUCGGCUUACAGCGCAUCCGGCGGG